GCCUAGAUAGUUCAGCUGGUUAGACGUUGAUACUGGCAACGUCAAAGUUGCAGGUUCAAUCCCUGUAUGGGACC
Podarcis lilfordi (Lilford's wall lizard) is the source of this 74-nucleotide non-coding RNA. Lineage: Eukaryota; Metazoa; Chordata; Lepidosauria; Squamata; Lacertidae. The record is from the annotation of a GenBank genome assembly.